AAAUUGAAGAGUUUGAUCAUGGCUCAGAUUGAACGCUGGCGGCAGGCCUAACACAUGCAAGUCGAACGGUAACAGGAAGCAGCUUGCUGCUUUGCUGACGAGUGGCGGACGGGUGAGUAAUGUCUGGGAAACUGCCUGAUGGAGGGGGAUAACUACUGGAAACGGUGGCUAAUACCGCAUAACGUCGCAAGACCAAAGAGGGGGACCUUCGGGCCUCUUGCCAUCAGAUGUGCCCAGAUGGGAUUAGCUUGUUGGUGAGGUAACGGCUCACCAAGGCGACGAUCCCUAGCUGGUCUGAGAGGAUGACCAGCCACACUGGAACUGAGACACGGUCCAGACUCCUACGGGAGGCAGCAGUGGGGAAUAUUGCACAAUGGGCGCAAGCCUGAUGCAGCCAUGCCGCGUGUAUGAAGAAGGCCUUCGGGUUGUAAAGUACUUUCAGCGGGGAGGAAGGUGUUGUGGUUAAUAACCGCAGCAAUUGACGUUACCCGCAGAAGAAGCACCGGCUAACUCCGUGCCAGCAGCCGCGGUAAUACGGAGGGUGCAAGCGUUAAUCGGAAUUACUGGGCGUAAAGCGCACGCAGGCGGUCUGUCAAGUCGGAUGUGAAAUCCCCGGGGCUCAACCUGGGAACUGCAUUCGAAACUGGCAGGCUUGAGUCUUGUAGAGGGGGGUAGAAUUCCAGGUGUAGCGGUGAAAUGCGUAGAGAUCUGGAGGAAUACCGGUGGCGAAGGCGGCCCCCUGGACAAAGACUGACGCUCAGGUGCGAAAGCGUGGGGAGCAAACAGGAUUAGAUACCCUGGUAGUCCACGCCGUAAACGAUGUCUACUUGGAGGUUGUGCCCUUGAGGCGUGGCUUCCGGAGCUAACGCGUUAAGUAGACCGCCUGGGGAGUACGGCCGCAAGGUUAAAACUCAAAUGAAUUGACGGGGGCCCGCACAAGCGGUGGAGCAUGUGGUUUAAUUCGAUGCAACGCGAAGAACCUUACCUGGUCUUGACAUCCACGGAAGUUUUCAGAGAUGAGAAUGUGCCUUCGGGAACCGUGAGACAGGUGCUGCAUGGCUGUCGUCAGCUCGUGUUGUGAAAUGUUGGGUUAAGUCCCGCAACGAGCGCAACCCUUAUCCUUUGUUGCCAGCGGUCCGGCCGGGAACUCAAAGGAGACUGCCAGUGAUAAACUGGAGGAAGGUGGGGAUGACGUCAAGUCAUCAUGGCCCUUACGACCAGGGCUACACACGUGCUACAAUGGCGCAUACAAAGAGAAGCGACCUCGCGAGAGCAAGCGGACCUCAUAAAGUGCGUCGUAGUCCGGAUUGGGAGUCUGCAACUCGACUCCAUGAAGUCGGAAUCGCUAGUAAUCGUGGAUCAGAAUGCCACGGUGAAUACGUUCCCGGGCCUUGUACACACCGCCCGUCACACCAUGGGAGUGGGUUGCAAAAGAAGUAGGUAGCUUAACCUUCGGGAGGGCGCUUACCACUUUGUGAUUCAUGACUGGGGUGAAGUCGUAACAAGGUAACCGUAGGGGAACCUGCGGUUGGAUCACCUCCUUACCUUAAAGAA
RNAcentral lists this ribosomal RNA (1554 nucleotides) under Salmonella enterica. Its description in RNAcentral is "bacterial SSU rRNA". It matches the Rfam family "Bacterial small subunit ribosomal RNA". The record is from RNAcentral. Lineage: Bacteria; Pseudomonadati; Pseudomonadota; Gammaproteobacteria; Enterobacterales; Enterobacteriaceae.